RNAcentral lists this small nuclear RNA (275 nucleotides) under Mus pahari (shrew mouse). RNAcentral describes it as "sRNA (MGP_PahariEiJ_G0008380.1)". It matches the Rfam family "7SK RNA". Rfam says of the family: 7SK was discovered as an abundant small nuclear RNA in the mid-70s but a possible function has only recently been suggested. Lineage: Eukaryota; Metazoa; Chordata; Mammalia; Rodentia; Muridae. The record is from RNAcentral.
GGAUAUGAAGGCAAUCUGACUGCAACGUCUGUCACCUCAUUGAUCAUCAGGGUUAAUUCAGCUGAUGUGGCUGGUAGACAGGUGUCCCCUUCCUUCCUUAUUAUUCUAAAUAUGUUCCUCCUGAAGCUGUGCGCUGGGUCAAAGAGGACUGCCUUCCAAAAUAGACCAGUCUUUGGUCAAAGGUGUAUGAGUAGGUAUACAGACAGUAUUUCUGUCACUUCAGUAUUUUUUGGUUUCCUGCACUUCUUUGUGGAUGGUUAAAACAUACAUAGUAU